GGGGUCAUUUUGGCUAUUAGUGGCUUGCUUGGCAAUUGGGCUUUGUGGGUUGCUACUAGUUUGGGUGUCUUCGGGGAUGUCUACCGUAAAGGUGCAUGAGUGGUGUUUGGUUUGUUACGGGUGGUUGGCUCUUUGCUUGCGCAACAACUUCCACCUGGCAUACCUCUUCAGUCUUGUGUCAAUGUUUGUUUUGCAUUGAAUGCACGACGGGUUUCUUGUGUUGCAUGCCUAAUUAAUGGUAUCGUUUGAUGAAUUGGUUUCCCUUUUCGUCUUGCGUCGCCUAUGCGAUGUGAGAUGAACCAUGAAGCAGCCUUUGUGAUCCACACUCUUGAUGCAUACGCAUUGAUUUUGUGGCCCAUUAAGUGUUGCUCGGUCUCAUGGAUAUGGAACCUGGUGUGGGCAUGGAAUCGUAAUGGUUCCUUGUUUGCCCAAGUUUAGCUUUUAUAAAACGAUUUGUCUAUCAUGUGUUAGCGUGGUAGACUAUGUCGAAUAUGAAUGCUACCUGGUUGAUCCUGCCAGUAGUCAUAUGCUUGUCUCAAAAAUUAAGCCAU
RNAcentral lists this unclassified non-coding RNA (551 nucleotides) under Helichrysum asperum. Its description in RNAcentral is "partial external transcribed spacer". The stretch from base 500 to 551 matches the Rfam family "Eukaryotic small subunit ribosomal RNA", at positions 1 to 52 of the family's 1831-position model. Lineage: Eukaryota; Viridiplantae; Streptophyta; Magnoliopsida; Asterales; Asteraceae. The record is from RNAcentral.